RNAcentral lists this ribosomal RNA (497 nucleotides) under uncultured bacterium. Its description in RNAcentral is "partial 16S ribosomal RNA". It matches the Rfam family "Bacterial small subunit ribosomal RNA", at positions 28 to 507 of the family's 1533-position model. The record is from RNAcentral.
GAUGAACGCUGGCGGCGUGCCUAAUACAUGCAAGUCGAGCGAACAGACGAGGAGCUUGCUCCUCUGACGUUAGCGGCGGACGGGUGAGUAACACGUGGAUAACCUACCUAUAAGACUGGGAUAACUUCGGGAAACCGGAGCUAAUACCGGAUAAUAUAUUGAACCGCAUGGUUCAAUAGUGAAAGACGGUUUUGCUGUCACUUAUAGAUGGAUCCGCGCCGCAUUAGCUAGUUGGUAAGGUAACGGCUUACCAAGGCGACGAUGCGUACCCGACCUGGGAGGGUGAUCGGCCACACUGGAACUGAGACACGGUCCAGACUCCUACGGGAGGCAGCAGUAGGGAAUCUUCCGCAAAGGGCGAAAGCCUGACGGAGCAACGCCGCGUGAGUGAUGAAGGUCUUCGGAUCGUAAAACUCUGUUAUUAGGGAAGAACAAAUGUGUAAGUAACUAUGCACGUCUUGACGGUACCUAAUCAGAAAGCCACGGCUAACUACGUG